This 468-nucleotide ribosomal RNA is filed under the name uncultured bacterium. RNAcentral describes it as "partial 16S ribosomal RNA". It matches the Rfam family "Bacterial small subunit ribosomal RNA", at positions 28 to 507 of the family's 1533-position model. The record is from RNAcentral.
GACGAACGCUGGCGGCGUGCUUAACACAUGCAAGUCGAACGGAAAGGCCCUGCUUUUGUGGGGUGCUCGAGUGGCGAACGGGUGAGUAACACGUGAGUAACCUGCCCUUGACUUUGGGAUAACUUCAGGAAACUGGGGCUAAUACCGGAUAGGAGCUCCUGCUGCAUGGUGGGGGUUGGAGAGUUUCGGCGGUUGGGGAUGGACUCGCGGCUUAUCAGCUUGUUGGGGGGGUAGUGGAUUACCAAGGCUUUGACGGGUAGCCGGCCUGAGAGGGUGACCGGCCACAUUGGGACUGAGAUACGGCCCAGACUCCUACGGGAGGCAGCAGUGGGGAAUAUUGCACAAUGGGCGGAAGCCUGAUGCAGCAACGCCGCGUGCGGGAUGACGGCCUUCGGGUUGUAAACCGCUUUCGCCUGUGACGAAGCGUGAGUGACGGUAAUGGGUAAAGAAGCACCGGCUAACUACGUG